This is a long non-coding RNA of Acipenser ruthenus (sterlet), 876 nucleotides long. RefSeq lists it as uncharacterized. The transcript is spliced from 2 exons. The record is from RefSeq and is a predicted model, not a curated record. Lineage: Eukaryota; Metazoa; Chordata; Actinopteri; Acipenseriformes; Acipenseridae.
GCAUCGGGUUGCAACGAGAAAGCAUGCUGAUGAGGUAUACAGUAUGGAAUUACGCCCAUUGUCUGUGUAAAGAACUUCCACAAACAACGCUUCUUUUCAACAGGUAACACUUUGGAGCCGUCAUAUUUCUUCGGCGAGGUUCUCCUUUUUGAUAUUUAACGGAGAUACUGCCCUAGGCUAGGAGACAUCCUUGGGUGUGAUAAUCCUGUCAAAAAACGAAGUAGAACUGAGAACUGAAGGUCAGUGGGUGUGCUCCAAUCCCAAGACCAAGCCAGUUACCUGUUUGCACCCAGGAGGACAAAGGCCACUUGAGUUCACUGGACGGGCAGCCGGCAAGUAGGGACCACAGUAGCGGGGUGAGGAGAAAUUCUCCCUGCCAAAUUUUGCCUCCCUAACCUGCUGGAGUGCCAGAGAAAACGCAAUGCUCCCUGUGGAAUCCCCAGAAAAGAUCAACAACAUGGCACAGCCAGGUUUUGAACCUGACUGUAUGACUCACCCUACCACCACUCAGCCAAGCCACACAGGGACAGUUAUAAGUAAUCAGCUCAAAUAAACACCCACUGAGCUGAUGCUUUCAACAUGAGUUUAUGAGGCAAUAGACAUCCUUAGGAAAUAUUUAAAUAAACAAUUUGUUAAAUAAAACCAUAUAGAGAACUGUACCUUUAAUAAGUAAUUGUCAUUUUCACAAGCAAUCAAAGUGAGCCACAGGUAAAAAUAGAAUUCCUUAUUUAAGAACAUAUUAUAUUAUGAUCAGAGACUGGUUUUGGCUAACACUCACGUUUGCAAGAGCUUUUUUUGUUUUUGUUUUUUUUUAAAUGUACAUGGCUUUAACUGACAGCUUUGCUGAAGAACAAAUAAAUAAAGAAAUAAAUUAUC